GAUCAUGGCUCAGGAUGAACGCUAGCUACAGGCUUAACACAUGCAAGUCGAGGGGCAGCAUGAACUUAGCUUGCUAAGUUUGAUGGCGACCGGCGCACGGGUGAGUAACACGUAUCCAACCUGCCGGAUGACUCGGGGAUAGCCUUUCGAAAGAAAGAUUAAUACCCGAUGGCAUAGUUCUUCCGCAUGGUGGAACUAUUAAAGAAUUUCGGUCAUCGAUGGGGAUGCGGUUCCA
This 235-nucleotide ribosomal RNA is filed under the name uncultured bacterium. Its description in RNAcentral is "partial 16S ribosomal RNA". It matches the Rfam family "Bacterial small subunit ribosomal RNA", at positions 15 to 241 of the family's 1533-position model. The record is from RNAcentral.